AAAUUGAAGAGUUUGAUCAUGGCUCAGAUUGAACGCUGGCGGCAGGCCUAACACAUGCAAGUCGAGCGGAAACGAGUUAUCUGAACCUUCGGAGGACGAUAACGGCGUCGAGCGGCGGACGGGUGAGUAAUGCCUGGGAAAUUGCCCUGAUGUGGGGGAUAACCAUUGGAAACGAUGGCUAAUACCGCAUAAUAGCUUCGGCUCAAAGAGGGGGACCUUCGGGCCUCUCGCGUCAGGAUAUGCCCAGGUGGGAUUAGCUAGUUGGUGAGGUAAGGGCUCACCAAGGCGAC
Molecule: ribosomal RNA, 290 nt
Filed under: Vibrio parahaemolyticus
Lineage: Bacteria; Pseudomonadati; Pseudomonadota; Gammaproteobacteria; Vibrionales; Vibrionaceae
Description: partial 16S ribosomal RNA
Rfam family: Bacterial small subunit ribosomal RNA
Source: RNAcentral